RNAcentral lists this ribosomal RNA (2702 nucleotides) under Staphylococcus aureus. Its description in RNAcentral is "partial 23S ribosomal RNA". It matches the Rfam family "Bacterial large subunit ribosomal RNA". The record is from RNAcentral. Lineage: Bacteria; Bacillati; Bacillota; Bacilli; Caryophanales; Staphylococcaceae.
UAAGGGCGCACGGUGGAUGCCUUGGCACUAGAAGCCGAUGAAGGACGUUACUAACGACGAUAUGCUUUGGGGAGCUGUAAGUAAGCUUUGAUCCAGAGAUUUCCGAAUGGGGAAACCCAGCAUGAGUUAUGUCAUGUUAUCGAUAUGUGAAUACAUAGCAUAUCAGAAGGCACACCCGGAGAACUGAAACAUCUUAGUACCCGGAGGAAGAGAAAGAAAAUUCGAUUCCCUUAGUAGCGGCGAGCGAAACGGGAAGAGCCCAAACCAACAAGCUUGCUUGUUGGGGUUGUAGGACACUCUAUACGGAGUUACAAAGGACGACAUUAGACGAAUCAUCUGGAAAGAUGAAUCAAAGAAGGUAAUAAUCCUGUAGUCGAAAAUGUUGUCUCUCUUGAGUGGAUCCUGAGUACGACGGAGCACGUGAAAUUCCGUCGGAAUCUGGGAGGACCAUCUCCUAAGGCUAAAUACUCUCUAGUGACCGAUAGUGAACCAGUACCGUGAGGGAAAGGUGAAAAGCACCCCGGAAGGGGAGUGAAAUAGAACCUGAAACCGUGUGCUUACAAGUAGUCAGAGCCCGUUAAUGGGUGAUGGCGUGCCUUUUGUAGAAUGAACCGGCGAGUUACGAUUUGAUGCAAGGUUAAGCAGUAAAUGUGGAGCCGUAGCGAAAGCGAGUCUGAAUAGGGCGUUUAGUAUUUGGUCGUAGACCCGAAACCAGGUGAUCUACCCUUGGUCAGGUUGAAGUUCAGGUAACACUGAAUGGAGGACCGAACCGACUUACGUUGAAAAGUGAGCGGAUGAACUGAGGGUAGCGGAGAAAUUCCAAUCGAACCUGGAGAUAGCUGGUUCUCUCCGAAAUAGCUUUAGGGCUAGCCUCAAGUGAUGAUUAUUGGAGGUAGAGCACUGUUUGGACGAGGGGCCCCUCUCGGGUUACCGAAUUCAGACAAACUCCGAAUGCCAAUUAAUUUAACUUGGGAGUCAGAACAUGGGUGAUAAGGUCCGUGUUCGAAAGGGAAACAGCCCAGACCACCAGCUAAGGUCCCAAAAUAUAUGUUAAGUGGAAAAGGAUGUGGCGUUGCCCAGACAACUAGGAUGUUGGCUUAGAAGCAGCCAUCAUUUAAAGAGUGCGUAAUAGCUCACUAGUCGAGUGACACUGCGCCGAAAAUGUACCGGGGCUAAACAUAUUACCGAAGCUGUGGAUUGUCCUUUGGACAAUGGUAGGAGAGCGUUCUAAGGGCGUUGAAGCAUGAUCGUAAGGACAUGUGGAGCGCUUAGAAGUGAGAAUGCCGGUGUGAGUAGCGAAAGACGGGUGAGAAUCCCGUCCACCGAUUGACUAAGGUUUCCAGAGGAAGGCUCGUCCGCUCUGGGUUAGUCGGGUCCUAAGCUGAGGCCGACAGGCGUAGGCGAUGGAUAACAGGUUGAUAUUCCUGUACCACCUAUAAUCGUUUUAAUCGAUGGGGGGACGCAGUAGGAUAGGCGAAGCGUGCGAUUGGAUUGCACGUCUAAGCAGUAAGGCUGAGUAUUAGGCAAAUCCGGUACUCAUUAAGGCUGAGCUGUGAUGGGGAGAAGACAUUGUGUCUUCGAGUCGUUGAUUUCACACUGCCGAGAAAAGCCUCUAGAUAGAAAAUAGGUGCCCGUACCGCAAACCGACACAGGUAGUCAAGAUGAGAAUUCUAAGGUGAGCGAGCGAACUCUCGUUAAGGAACUCGGCAAAAUGACCCCGUAACUUCGGGAGAAGGGGUGCUCUUUAGGGUUAACGCCCAGAAGAGCCGCAGUGAAUAGGCCCAAGCGACUGUUUAUCAAAAACACAGGUCUCUGCUAAACCGUAAGGUGAUGUAUAGGGGCUGACGCCUGCCCGGUGCUGGAAGGUUAAGAGGAGUGGUUAGCUUCUGCGAAGCUACGAAUCGAAGCCCCAGUAAACGGCGGCCGUAACUAUAACGGUCCUAAGGUAGCGAAAUUCCUUGUCGGGUAAGUUCCGACCCGCACGAAAGGCGUAACGAUUUGGGCACUGUCUCAACGAGAGACUCGGUGAAAUCAUAGUACCUGUGAAGAUGCAGGUUACCCGCGACAGGACGGAAAGACCCCGUGGAGCUUUACUGUAGCCUGAUAUUGAAAUUCGGCACAGCUUGUACAGGAUAGGUAGGAGCCUUUGAAACGUGAGCGCUAGCUUACGUGGAGGCGCUGGUGGGAUACUACCCUAGCUGUGUUGGCUUUCUAACCCGCACCACUUAUCGUGGUGGGAGACAGUGUCAGGCGGGCAGUUUGACUGGGGCGGUCGCCUCCUAAAAGGUAACGGAGGCGCUCAAAGGUUCCCUCAGAAUGGUUGGAAAUCAUUCAUAGAGUGUAAAGGCAUAAGGGAGCUUGACUGCGAGACCUACAAGUCGAGCAGGGUCGAAAGACGGACUUAGUGAUCCGGUGGUUCCGCAUGGAAGGGCCAUCGCUCAACGGAUAAAAGCUACCCCGGGGAUAACAGGCUUAUCUCCCCCAAGAGUUCACAUCGACGGGGAGGUUUGGCACCUCGAUGUCGGCUCAUCGCAUCCUGGGGCUGUAGUCGGUCCCAAGGGUUGGGCUGUUCGCCCAUUAAAGCGGUACGCGAGCUGGGUUCAGAACGUCGUGAGACAGUUCGGUCCCUAUCCGUCGUGGGCGUAGGAAAUUUGAGAGGAGCUGUCCUUAGUACGAGAGGACCGGGAUGGACAUACCUCUGG